ACAACUCCUACUUUCCAACUUCUUGAUCAUCGGACUAACUUAAGCGUUGGAGUGACUACAUUAAGGUCCAUUUUGGCACCAUUCUAACCUCCCCUGGUGAGUUAUUUCAGUCCUGCGAUUGAUCAUCUUCCCGGACCCUUCGGAGCCACACCUCCUAUCUCGACGCAUCCUUUGUUGGCUCAGUCAUCCACGGCACUGAUUGCAAGAAAAAUCAUGGAAGUCGGCUCUUCAUCAUCAUCAUCGUUCACUCGACGACGUACGAACGACGAGCAAUGUGGAGCUCCUCACAUAUUGUGUUAUUGUGGGUUACGAUCUACACUCCAAACAUCAUGGACGGAAUCUAAUCCAGGAAGGCGAUUUUUUCAUGUCCAAAAUAUAGACAAAGGGGAUGUGGCUUCUUCUUAUGGCACGACCCAGAAUCGUUAGAGAGAAGUAAGACAAUUAUUAAUGAGUUGAAGAGAAAUAACAAAAAAUUAAUGUUGGAUAUUAGUGAAUUGAAGAAAUGUACUAGUUGCGAGGGUACAGUUGAAUACAAUGAUAUUCUGGACGAUGAGAACAACAAUCAUGUAAUUAUGCGGAUGAGUGAUGAAAUACAUUCAUUGAAUAGGAAAUUUAGAGUUGCUAUGGUUGUAGUUGUAUGUUCUUGGAUUGUGAUGAUAGCGAUAUGGUUGAUGUAACUUAUGUUUUGAUGUAACUUGACAUUGUAAUGUAACUCUAAGUGGUGUAACUUGUUUUCUGAUGUAG
This is a long non-coding RNA of Zingiber officinale, 744 nucleotides long. RefSeq lists it as uncharacterized. The record is from RefSeq and is a predicted model, not a curated record. The transcript is spliced from 3 exons. NCBI's taxonomy places the organism in Eukaryota, Viridiplantae, Streptophyta, Magnoliopsida, Zingiberales, Zingiberaceae.